CCUACGGGGGGCAGCAGUGGGGAAUAUUGGACAAUGGGGGGAACCCUGAUCCAGCCAUGCCGCGUGUGUGAAGAAGGCCCUCGGGUUGUAAAGCACUUUCAGUGAGGAAGAACGCCUGGUGGUUAAUACCCAUCAGGAAAGACAUCACUCACAGAAGAAGCACCGGCUAACUCCGUGCCAGCAGCCGCGGUAAUACGGAGGGUGCGAGCGUUAAUCGGAAUUACUGGGCGUAAAGCGCGCGUAGGUGGCUUGAUAAGCCGGUUGUGAAAGCCCCGGGCUCAACCUGGGAACGGCAUCCGGAACUGUCAAGCUAGAGUGCAGGAGAGGAAGGUAGAAUUCCCGGUGUAGCGGUGAAAUGCGUAGAGAUCGGGAGGAAUAACAGUGGCGAAGGCGGCCUUCUGGACUGACACUGACACUGAGGUGCGAAAGCGUGGGUAGCAAACAGGAUUAGAUACCCCGGUAGUC
RNAcentral lists this ribosomal RNA (465 nucleotides) under Vreelandella stevensii. RNAcentral describes it as "partial 16S ribosomal RNA". It matches the Rfam family "Bacterial small subunit ribosomal RNA", at positions 338 to 795 of the family's 1533-position model. Lineage: Bacteria; Pseudomonadati; Pseudomonadota; Gammaproteobacteria; Oceanospirillales; Halomonadaceae. The record is from RNAcentral.